RNAcentral lists this ribosomal RNA (437 nucleotides) under uncultured Parvibaculum sp. RNAcentral's name for it is "bacterial SSU rRNA". It matches the Rfam family "Bacterial small subunit ribosomal RNA", at positions 8 to 489 of the family's 1533-position model. The record is from RNAcentral. Lineage: Bacteria; Pseudomonadati; Pseudomonadota; Alphaproteobacteria; Hyphomicrobiales; Parvibaculaceae.
AGAGUUUGAUCAUGGCUCAGAACGAACGCUGGCGGCAGGCUUAACACAUGCAAGUCGAACGGCUGUAGCAAUACAGCAGUGGCAGACGGGUGAGUAACACGUGGGAACCUUCCUAGGGGUACGGAACAACUCAGGGAAACUUGAGCUAAUACCGUAUACGUCCGUAAGGAGAAAGAUUCAUCGCCCCUAGACGGGCCCGCGUCGGAUUAGGUAGUUGGUGGGGUAACGGCCUACCAAGCCUGCGAUCCGUAGCUGAUCUGAGAGGAUGAUCAGCCACACUGGGACUGAGACACGGCCCAGACUCCUACGGGAGGCAGCAGUGGGGAAUCUUGGACAAUGGGCGCAAGCCUGAUCCAGCCAUGCCGCGUGAGUGAAGAAGGCCUUAGGGUUGUAAAGCUCUUUUACCAGGGACGAUAAUGACGGUACCUGGAGAAUAG